This 496-nucleotide ribosomal RNA is filed under the name uncultured bacterium. RNAcentral's name for it is "partial 16S ribosomal RNA". It matches the Rfam family "Bacterial small subunit ribosomal RNA", at positions 28 to 506 of the family's 1533-position model. The record is from RNAcentral.
GACGAACGCUGGCGGCGUGCCUAAUACAUGCAAGUUGAGCGAUGAAGAUUGGUGCUUGCACCAAUUUGAAGAGCAGCGAACGGGUGAGUAACGCGUGGGGAAUCUGCCUUUGAGCGGGGGACAACAUUUGGAAACGAAUGCUAAUACCGCAUAACAACUUUAAACAUAAGUUUUAAGUUUGAAAGAUGCAAUUGCAUCACUCAAAGAUGAUCCCGCGUUGUAUUAGCUAGUUGGUGAGGUAAAGGCUCACCAAGGCGAUGAUUCAUAGCCGACCUGAGAGGGUGAUCGGCCACAUUGGGACUGAGACACGGCCCAAACUCCUACGGGAGGCAGCAGUAGGGAAUCUUCGGCAAUGGACGAAAGUCUGACCGAGCAACGCCGCGUGAGUGAAGAAGGUUUUCGGAUCGUAAAACUCUGUUGGUAGAGAAGAACGUUGGUGAGAGUGGAAAGCUCAUCAAGUGACGGUAACUACCCAGAAAGGGACGGCUAACUACGG